GUGCCAGCAGCCGCGGUAAUACGGAGGGGGCUAGCGUUGUUCGGAAUUACUGGGCGUAAAGCGCACGUAGGCGGAUCAGAAAGUUGGGGGUGAAAUCCCGGGGCUCAACCUCGGAACUGCCUUCAAAACUAUUGGUCUUGAGUUCGAGAGAGGUGAGUGGAAUUCCGAGUGUAGAGGUGAAAUUCGUAGAUAUUCGGAGGAACACCAGUGGCGAAGGCGGCUCACUGGCUCGAUACUGACGCUGAGGUGCGAAAGCGUGGGGAGCAAACAGGAUU
Molecule: ribosomal RNA, 275 nt
Filed under: uncultured Rhodobacterales bacterium
Lineage: Bacteria; Pseudomonadati; Pseudomonadota; Alphaproteobacteria; Rhodobacterales
Description: partial 16S ribosomal RNA
Rfam family: Bacterial small subunit ribosomal RNA
Source: RNAcentral